RNAcentral lists this transfer RNA (60 nucleotides) under Neofamilia massiliensis. It matches the Rfam family "tRNA", at positions 8 to 63 of the family's 71-position model. Rfam says of the family: Transfer RNA (tRNA) molecules are approximately 80 nucleotides in length. Their secondary structure includes four short double-helical elements and three loops (D, anti-codon, and T loops). Further hydrogen bonds mediate the characteristic L-shaped molecular structure. tRNAs have two regions of fundamental functional importance: the anti-codon, which is responsible for specific mRNA codon recognition, and the 3' end, to which the tRNAs corresponding amino acid is attached (by aminoacyl-tRNA synthetases). tRNAs cope with the degeneracy of the genetic code in two manners: having more than one tRNA (with a specific anti-codon) for a particular amino acid; and 'wobble' base-pairing, i.e. permitting non-standard base-pairing at the 3rd anti-codon position. The record is from RNAcentral. Lineage: Bacteria; Bacillati; Bacillota; Clostridia; Eubacteriales.
AUUAGCUCAGUCGGUAGAGCACCUGACUUUUAAUCAGGGAGUCCCGGGUUCGAGUCCCGG